This 1049-nucleotide long non-coding RNA is filed under the name Cricetulus griseus (Chinese hamster). Its description in RNAcentral is "lncRNA (ENSCGRG00015032190.1)". Lineage: Eukaryota; Metazoa; Chordata; Mammalia; Rodentia; Cricetidae. The record is from RNAcentral.
CUGCGUUUGUGCUUUCGGUUUCUCUUUGCUGCUUGCUGUACAGACCGAUACCACGCUGGCUGGCUAGGUUGCUCUGCUAGCCAAGAUGUAUCUGCCUUCAGCUGGGCUGGAUUCAGGCUUCAGGUUUUGUCCAGGUCCACUGCAACAGCCUCAGUUUUGCUGUGUCUAUGGCAUGUCUGUAGCCUAAGGCAUACUUUCUGCAUGGUGAUGGCAGAAGUAGAAGGUGAAAUCUCAUUGGCCCAAGGCUUCUCUGUAUGGGCUAGUUGGAGUUUCCAAACAGCUUGGUGGACUGAGAAUUGUCACACUGUGCACAAGGCAGGGUACAACUCUUGCACAGUUGUAGCCAGAGAACCAACUAAAGGUACCCAUAUUCUACCAUGAGCCUUGGGAAUUGCCCAGCAUUACUUCUUCAGUGUACGCUGGAACAACUGUAAACCUGCCCAAUUUCAAUGGGAAGGAAUGUGGAUUCCAACUCUCAAAGGUAUAGCUCCUUGAUGCAGAGGCCCCAUUUGUCCUUCUAUGUGAGCCCCUGAACUGCUGCCACCUCCAAAUGAAGGACACAGACAUGCAGGAGAGGGAUAUGGCUUCCAAGUUCCCUAGCUCCCAGCCUGCCUGCCUCACUGAAGACAGAUGAAGAAGCAGAUGUAGGCUAGGAGGGCCCUCAACUCCCCUGGGGCACAUCUGAAACUGAAAAGCAUCUUCCAGCUUCCACUGGACAUUAAGGGACCCAUUUUCCUGGCAAGCCUCCUGAAAGCAUGCAAAGAUCUACACCCAGAUGAUGGUGCUGCUCAUUCUUAAGAUGGGACUUCCCACGUCACCUAACGAAAUCAAGACAGUCUCCCACAGACACGCCCACUGGCCAACCUAAUACAGACAAUCCCUCAUUGAGACUCUUCCCAGGACUGGGAUCACAUACACUCCGGUGUCCGGCCUUUUCCAGUGAUGCUAAGAAUCUGAACUCAGGUCCUUGUGUUUGUGUGGCAAGCACUUUGCUCACAGAUCCAUCUCCUCAACCCUGAAGCUACCUUCCAUAGAAUAUUUGUAAUGCC